This 460-nucleotide ribosomal RNA is filed under the name uncultured bacterium. RNAcentral's name for it is "partial 16S ribosomal RNA". It matches the Rfam family "Bacterial small subunit ribosomal RNA", at positions 338 to 795 of the family's 1533-position model. The record is from RNAcentral.
CCUACGGGAGGCAGCAGUGAGGAAUAUUGGUCAAUGGACGAGAGUCUGAACCAGCCAAGUAGCGUGAAGGAUGACUGCCCUAUGGUUUGUAAACUUCUUUUAUAUGGGAAUAAAUUGUUCCACGUGUGGGAUUUGGUAUGUACCAUUUGAUUAAGGAUCGGGCAACUCCGUACCAGCAGCCGCGGUAAUACGGAGGAUCCGAGCGUUAUCCGGAUUUAUUGGGUUUAAAGGGGGCGUAGGUGGAUUGUUAAGUCAGUUGGGAAAGUUUGAGGGUUAACCGUAAAAUUGCAGUUGAAACUGGCAGUCUUGAGUACAGUAGAGGUGGGCGGAAUUCGUGGUGUAGCGGUGAAAUGCUUAGAUAUCAGGAAGAACUCCGAUUGCGAAGGCAGUUCACUGGACUGCAACUGACACUGAGGCUCGAAAGUGUGGGUAUCAAACAGGAUUAGAUACCCUAGUAGUC